Molecule: ribosomal RNA, 409 nt
Filed under: Mopalia plumosa
Lineage: Eukaryota; Metazoa; Mollusca; Polyplacophora; Chitonida; Mopaliidae
Description: partial 16S ribosomal RNA
Rfam family: Bacterial large subunit ribosomal RNA
Source: RNAcentral
UGUUUUUUAAUUGAAAGCUUGUAUGAAUGGCUUGACGCAGGUAAAGCUGUCUCUUUUAUAUUAAAUAAAAAUUAAUUUUUAAGUGCAGAAGCUUAAAUGAAACCAAAAGACGAAAAGACCCUAUCGAGCUUGAAAAUUAUAAUUAAAUUAAAUUUAUAGUAAAAUAAUUUUUAAUUAAUUUUUUUUGUUGGGGCGACAAAAGAACAAAUAAAGCUUCUUUUCAUUUUAUAAAUUUAUAAAUUUAUAGAUCCAUAAAUUAUGAUUAAAAGAAAAAGCUACCGUAGGGAUAACAGCGUUAUUUUUUCAAAGAGUUCUUAUCGAAGAAAAAGUUUGCGNCCUCGAUGUUGGAUUAAAGUAACUUUUAAGUGCAGAAGCUUAAAUAGUGGGUCUGUUCGACCCUUAAACCUUU